Molecule: ribosomal RNA, 2904 nt
Filed under: Escherichia coli
Lineage: Bacteria; Pseudomonadati; Pseudomonadota; Gammaproteobacteria; Enterobacterales; Enterobacteriaceae
Description: 23S ribosomal RNA
Rfam family: Bacterial large subunit ribosomal RNA
Source: RNAcentral
GGUUAAGCGACUAAGCGUACACGGUGGAUGCCCUGGCAGUCAGAGGCGAUGAAGGACGUGCUAAUCUGCGAUAAGCGUCGGUAAGGUGAUAUGAACCGUUAUAACCGGCGAUUUCCGAAUGGGGAAACCCAGUGUGUUUCGACACACUAUCAUUAACUGAAUCCAUAGGUUAAUGAGGCGAACCGGGGGAACUGAAACAUCUAAGUACCCCGAGGAAAAGAAAUCAACCGAGAUUCCCCCAGUAGCGGCGAGCGAACGGGGAGCAGCCCAGAGCCUGAAUCAGUGUGUGUGUUAGUGGAAGCGUCUGGAAAGGCGCGCGAUACAGGGUGACAGCCCCGUACACAAAAAUGCACAUGCUGUGAGCUCGAUGAGUAGGGCGGGACACGUGGUAUCCUGUCUGAAUAUGGGGGGACCAUCCUCCAAGGCUAAAUACUCCUGACUGACCGAUAGUGAACCAGUACCGUGAGGGAAAGGCGAAAAGAACCCCGGCGAGGGGAGUGAAAAAGAACCUGAAACCGUGUACGUACAAGCAGUGGGAGCCUCUUUUAUGGGGUGACUGCGUACCUUUUGUAUAAUGGGUCAGCGACUUAUAUUCUGUAGCAAGGUUAACCGAAUAGGGGAGCCGAAGGGAAACCGAGUCUUAACUGGGCGUUAAGUUGCAGGGUAUAGACCCGAAACCCGGUGAUCUAGCCAUGGGCAGGUUGAAGGUUGGGUAACACUAACUGGAGGACCGAACCGACUAAUGUUGAAAAAUUAGCGGAUGACUUGUGGCUGGGGGUGAAAGGCCAAUCAAACCGGGAGAUAGCUGGUUCUCCCCGAAAGCUAUUUAGGUAGCGCCUCGUGAAUUCAUCUCCGGGGGUAGAGCACUGUUUCGGCAAGGGGGUCAUCCCGACUUACCAACCCGAUGCAAACUGCGAAUACCGGAGAAUGUUAUCACGGGAGACACACGGCGGGUGCUAACGUCCGUCGUGAAGAGGGAAACAACCCAGACCGCCAGCUAAGGUCCCAAAGUCAUGGUUAAGUGGGAAACGAUGUGGGAAGGCCCAGACAGCCAGGAUGUUGGCUUAGAAGCAGCCAUCAUUUAAAGAAAGCGUAAUAGCUCACUGGUCGAGUCGGCCUGCGCGGAAGAUGUAACGGGGCUAAACCAUGCACCGAAGCUGCGGCAGCGACGCUUAUGCGUUGUUGGGUAGGGGAGCGUUCUGUAAGCCUGCGAAGGUGUACUGUGAGGUAUGCUGGAGGUAUCAGAAGUGCGAAUGCUGACAUAAGUAACGAUAAAGCGGGUGAAAAGCCCGCUCGCCGGAAGACCAAGGGUUCCUGUCCAACGUUAAUCGGGGCAGGGUGAGUCGACCCCUAAGGCGAGGCCGAAAGGCGUAGUCGAUGGGAAACAGGUUAAUAUUCCUGUACUUGGUGUUACUGCGAAGGGGGGACGGAGAAGGCUAUGUUGGCCGGGCGACGGUUGUCCCGGUUUAAGCGUGUAGGCUGGUUUUCCAGGCAAAUCCGGAAAAUCAAGGCUGAGGCGUGAUGACGAGGCACUACGGUGCUGAAGCAACAAAUGCCCUGCUUCCAGGAAAAGCCUCUAAGCAUCAGGUAACAUCAAAUCGUACCCCAAACCGACACAGGUGGUCAGGUAGAGAAUACCAAGGCGCUUGAGAGAACUCGGGUGAAGGAACUAGGCAAAAUGGUGCCGUAACUUCGGGAGAAGGCACGCUGAUAUGUAGGUGAAGUCCCUCGCGGAUGGAGCUGAAAUCAGUCGAAGAUACCAGCUGGCUGCAACUGUUUAUUAAAAACACAGCACUGUGCAAACACGAAAGUGGACGUAUACGGUGUGACGCCUGCCCGGUGCCGGAAGGUUAAUUGAUGGGGUUAGCGCAAGCGAAGCUCUUGAUCGAAGCCCCGGUAAACGGCGGCCGUAACUAUAACGGUCCUAAGGUAGCGAAAUUCCUUGUCGGGUAAGUUCCGACCUGCACGAAUGGCGUAAUGAUGGCCAGGCUGUCUCCACCCGAGACUCAGUGAAAUUGAACUCGCUGUGAAGAUGCAGUGUACCCGCGGCAAGACGGAAAGACCCCGUGAACCUUUACUAUAGCUUGACACUGAACAUUGAGCCUUGAUGUGUAGGAUAGGUGGGAGGCUUAGAAGUGUGGACGCCAGUCUGCAUGGAGCCGACCUUGAAAUACCACCCUUUAAUGUUUGAUGUUCUAACGUUGACCCGUAAUCCGGGUUGCGGACAGUGUCUGGUGGGUAGUUUGACUGGGGCGGUCUCCUCCUAAAGAGUAACGGAGGAGCACGAAGGUUGGCUAAUCCUGGUCGGACAUCAGGAGGUUAGUGCAAUGGCAUAAGCCAGCUUGACUGCGAGCGUGACGGCGCGAGCAGGUGCGAAAGCAGGUCAUAGUGAUCCGGUGGUUCUGAAUGGAAGGGCCAUCGCUCAACGGAUAAAAGGUACUCCGGGGAUAACAGGCUGAUACCGCCCAAGAGUUCAUAUCGACGGCGGUGUUUGGCACCUCGAUGUCGGCUCAUCACAUCCUGGGGCUGAAGUAGGUCCCAAGGGUAUGGCUGUUCGCCAUUUAAAGUGGUACGCGAGCUGGGUUUAGAACGUCGUGAGACAGUUCGGUCCCUAUCUGCCGUGGGCGCUGGAGAACUGAGGGGGGCUGCUCCUAGUACGAGAGGACCGGAGUGGACGCAUCACUGGUGUUCGGGUUGUCAUGCCAAUGGCACUGCCCGGUAGCUAAAUGCGGAAGAGAUAAGUGCUGAAAGCAUCUAAGCACGAAACUUGCCCCGAGAUGAGUUCUCCCUGACUCCUUGAGAGUCCUGAAGGAACGUUGAAGACGACGACGUUGAUAGGCCGGGUGUGUAAGCGCAGCGAUGCGUUGAGCUAACCGGUACUAAUGAACCGUGAGGCUUAACCUU